RNAcentral lists this ribosomal RNA (490 nucleotides) under uncultured bacterium. RNAcentral describes it as "partial 16S ribosomal RNA". It matches the Rfam family "Bacterial small subunit ribosomal RNA", at positions 30 to 507 of the family's 1533-position model. The record is from RNAcentral.
AUUGAACGCUGGCGGCAGGCUUAACACAUGCAAGUCGAGCGGUAGCACAGGGGAGCUUGCUCCCUGGGUGACGAGCGGCGGACGGGUGAGUAAUGUCUGGGAAACUGCCUGAUGGAGGGGGAUAACUACUGGAAACGGUAGCUAAUACCGCAUAACGUCGCGAGACCAAAGAGGGGGACCUUCGGGCCUCUUGCCAUCAGAUGUGCCCAGAUGGGAUUAGCUAGUAGGUGGGGUAAUGGCUCACCUAGGCGACGAUCCCUAGCUGGUCUGAGAGGAUGACCAGCCACACUGGAGCUGAGACACGGUCCAGACUCCUACGGGAGGCAGCAGUGGGGAAUAUUGCACAAUGGGCGCAAGCCUGAUGCAGCCAUGCCGCGUGUGUGAAGAAGGCCUUCGGGUUGUAAAGCACUUUCAGCGAGGAGGAAGGUGGUGAGCUUAAUACGUUCAUCAAUUGACGUUACUCGCAGAAGAAGCACCGGCUAACUCCGUG